GACGAACGCUGGCGGCGUGCCUAACACAUGCAAGUGGAGCGACGAACCAGGCUUCGGCCUGGGGCAAAGCCGCGAACGGGUGAGUAACACGUGGGUAACCUGCCCUGAUGAUUGGGACAACCCGAGGAAACUCGGGCUAAUACCGAAUGUGCCCUCCGGCCUCAAGGCGCUGGGGAAAGGAAGCUUCGGCCUCCGCAUCGGGAUGGGCCCGCGG
Molecule: ribosomal RNA, 214 nt
Filed under: uncultured bacterium
Lineage: Bacteria
Description: partial 16S ribosomal RNA
Rfam family: Bacterial small subunit ribosomal RNA
Source: RNAcentral